UGGCUCAGGACGAACGCUGGCGGUAUGCUUAACACAUGCAAGUCGAACGAGAAGGAAGAGCUUGCUCUUCCUGAAAGUGGCGAACGGGUGAGUAACGCGUGGGUAACCUACCCUUUGGAAAGGAAUAGCCUCGGGAAACUGGGAGUAAUGCCUUAUAAGAUACGUUUGUCGCAUGGCAUUUGUAUUAAACGCUCCGGCGCCAUAGGAUGGACCCGCGUCCCAUUAGCUAGUUGGUGAGAUAACAGCUCACCAAGGCCACGAUGGGUAACCGGUCUGAGAGGGCGAACGGUCACACUGGAACUGAGACACGGUCCAGACUCCUACGGGAGGCAGCAGUGGGGAAUAUUGCGCAAUGGGGGCAACCCUGACGCAGCAACACCGCGUGAGUGAAGAAGGUUUUCGGAUCGUAAAGCUCUGUUAUUGGGGAAGAAAAAAAGACGGUACCCAAGAAGAAAGUUCCGGCUAACUACGUGCCAGCAGCCGCGGUAAUACGUAGGGAACAAGCGUUGUCCGGAUUUACUGGGCGUAAAGGGCACGCAGGCGGUUUUUUAAGUCAGAUGUGAAAGGCCACAGCUCAACUGUGGACAUGCAUUUGAAACUGAAAGACUUGAGUAUUGGAGAGGCAAGUGGAAUUCCUAGUGUAGCGGUGAAAUGCGUAGAUAUUAGGAGGAACACCGGUGGCGAAGGCGGCUUGCUGGACAAAUACUGACGCUGAUGGCUCAGGACGAACGCUGGCGGUAUGCUUAACACAUGCAAGUCGAACGAGAAGGAAGAGCUUGCUCUUCCUGAAAGUGGCGAACGGGUGAGUAACGCGUGGGUAACCUACCCUUUGGAAAGGAAUAGCCUCGGGAAACUGGGAGUAAUGCCUUAUAAGAUACGUUUGUCGCAUGGCAUUUGUAUUAAACGCUCCGGCGCCAUAGGAUGGACCCGCGUCCCAUUAGCUAGUUGGUGAGAUAACAGCUCACCAAGGCCACGAUGGGUAACCGGUCUGAGAGGGCGAACGGUCACACUGGAACUGAGACACGGUCCAGACUCCUACGGGAGGCAGCAGUGGGGAAUAUUGCGCAAUGGGGGCAACCCUGACGCAGCAACACCGCGUGAGUGAAGAAGGUUUUCGGAUCGUAAAGCUCUGUUAUUGGGGAAGAAAAAAAGACGGUACCCAAGAAGAAAGUUCCGGCUAACUACGUGCCAGCAGCCGCGGUAAUACGUAGGGAACAAGCGUUGUCCGGAUUUACUGGGCGUAAAGGGCACGCAGGCGGUUUUUUAAGUCAGAUGUGAAAGGCCACAGCUCAACUGUGGACAUGCAUUUGAAACUGAAAGACUUGAGUAUUGGAGAGGCAAGUGGAAUUCCUAGUGUAGCGGUGAAAUGCGUAGAUAUUAGGAGGAACACCGGUGGCGAAGGCGGCUUGCUGGACAAAUACUGACGCUGA
This 1430-nucleotide ribosomal RNA is filed under the name uncultured bacterium. Its description in RNAcentral is "bacterial SSU rRNA". The stretch from base 700 to 1430 matches the Rfam family "Bacterial small subunit ribosomal RNA", at positions 1 to 749 of the family's 1533-position model. The record is from RNAcentral.